Molecule: long non-coding RNA, 481 nt
Filed under: Bos mutus (wild yak)
Lineage: Eukaryota; Metazoa; Chordata; Mammalia; Artiodactyla; Bovidae
Description: lncRNA (ENSBMUG00000008816.1)
Source: RNAcentral
CUGCCAGAGGAGGGUUGGGAAGAAGACACUGCCUGAGUUACUCACGCUGUAACAUGAAACUUUGUUUUCCAAUUCAGAGUUAAUUCAGGAAGCAACAGAAAAGCAUGCUAUUAUCUUUUUAAGUACAUUCAAGAGAAGCCCUGCACACAAGGGUAUGUGUUCAUAUUCCUCAUGCUGGUAUAUAUGCUAUCCGCAAAACUUCAUGUCAACCAGGUAAGGCAAACACAAGACAAUCUAAAUAACAAGCAAGCAGAGAGUAACAGCAACAAAGAAGGCCUAAGUGAAAAUUAGAACAUCAGAGAUGGUCCACUUCUGGGCAACUCAGAUACCGGCUAAGAGCUCUGGAUGCCCAAAUGCUAAAGUGGGGUUGGGUACUACAAGGGGAAAAUAAGAUCCAUAACAGGAAUGUUACAGGUGGAGGUAUCAAAGGUAUUCUUAAGCUGCUUCAUAUUUAAUCAAGGGCAAACCCUGCUCCAAGACA